AAAUAAUCACUCUUUAGCACAUCUUGCCAUCGUGAAAAGGAAAGUUGAUGAACUUGUUGAAGAGAGAAAAAGUUUGCUUGAAGAAAUAAAUAGAAGUCACAGAGAAUUAAUUGCGGCUCAAAUUUGGUUGGGGAAGCUCGAGGAGAAUGAGGAAUUUUUAUCUACUGAAAAUGAACUAUUGAAGGCUGAUAAUGCCAAAUUGUCAUGGAACUUGAGGAGGAAUUAGAAAAAAUUUCUAUUCUAUUGGAUAUGCAAUAACCCACUCCAUGUUAAGGGUGAUUUUAUUGAAAUUAUU
Molecule: long non-coding RNA, 295 nt
Organism: Phalaenopsis equestris
Lineage: Eukaryota; Viridiplantae; Streptophyta; Magnoliopsida; Asparagales; Orchidaceae
Exons: 3
Source: RefSeq, a predicted model, not a curated record